GGGUUGUGAGGUUAAGCGACUAAGCGUACACGGUGGAUGCCCUGGCAGUCAGAGGCGAUGAAGGACGUGCUAAUCUGCGAUAAGCGUCGGUGAGGUGAUAUGAACCGUUAUAACCGGCGAUUUCCGAAUGGGGAAACCCAGUGUGUUUCGACACACUAUCAUUAACUGAAUCCAUAGGUUAAUGAGGCGAACCGGGGGAACUGAAACAUCUAAGUACCCCGAGGAAAAGAAAUCAACCGAGAUUCCCCCAGUAGCGGCGAGCGAACGGGGAGGAGCCCAGAGCCUGAAUCAGUGUGUGUGUUAGUGGAAGCGUCUGGAAAGGCGCGCGAUACAGGGUGACAGCCCCGUACACAAAAAUGCACAUAUUGUGAGCUCGAUGAGUAGGGCGGGACACGUGGUAUCCUGUCUGAAUAUGGGGGGACCAUCCUCCAAGGCUAAAUACUCCUGACUGACCGAUAGUGAACCAGUACCGUGAGGGAAAGGCGAAAAGAACCCCGGCGAGGGGAGUGAAAAAGAACCUGAAACCGUGUACGUACAAGCAGUGGGAGCCUCUUUAUGGGGUGACUGCGUACCUUUUGUAUAAUGGGUCAGCGACUUAUAUUCUGUAGCAAGGUUAACCGAAUAGGGGAGCCGAAGGGAAACCGAGUCUUAACUGGGCGUUAAGUUGCAGGGUAUAGACCCGAAACCCGGUGAUCUAGCCAUGGGCAGGUUGAAGGUUGGGUAACACUAACUGGAGGACCGAACCGACUAAUGUUGAAAAAUUAGCGGAUGACUUGUGGCUGGGGGUGAAAGGCCAAUCAAACCGGGAGAUAGCUGGUUCUCCCCGAAAGCUAUUUAGGUAGCGCCUCGUGAAUUCAUCUCCGGGGGUAGAGCACUGUUUCGGCAAGGGGGUCAUCCCGACUUACCAACCCGAUGCAAACUGCGAAUACCGGAGAAUGUUAUCACGGGAGACACACGGCGGGUGCUAACGUCCGUCGUGAAGAGGGAAACAACCCAGACCGCCAGCUAAGGUCCCAAAGUCAUGGUUAAGUGGGAAACGAUGUGGGAAGGCCCAGACAGCCAGGAUGUUGGCUUAGAAGCAGCCAUCAUUUAAAGAAAGCGUAAUAGCUCACUGGUCGAGUCGGCCUGCGCGGAAGAUGUAACGGGGCUAAACCAUGCACCGAAGCUGCGGCAGCGACACUAUGUGUUGUUGGGUAGGGGAGCGUUCUGUAAGCCUGUGAAGGUGGCCUGUGAGGGUUGCUGGAGGUAUCAGAAGUGCGAAUGCUGACAUAAGUAACGAUAAAGCGGGUGAAAAGCCCGCUCGCCGGAAGACCAAGGGUUCCUGUCCAACGUUAAUCGGGGCAGGGUGAGUCGACCCCUAAGGCGAGGCCGAAAGGCGUAGUCGAUGGGAAACAGGUUAAUAUUCCUGUACUUGGUGUUACUGCGAAGGGGGGACGGAGAAGGCUAUGUUGGCCGGGCGACGGUUGUCCCGGUUUAAGCGUGUAGGCUGGUUUUCCAGGCAAAUCCGGAAAACCAAGGCUGAGGCGUGAUGACGAGGCACUACGGUGCUGAAGCGACAAAUGCCCUGCUUCCAGGAAAAGCCUCUAAGCAUCAGGUAACAUCAAAUCGUACCCCAAACCGACACAGGUGGUCAGGUAGAGAAUACCAAGGCGCUUGAGAGAACUCGGGUGAAGGAACUAGGCAAAAUGGUGCCGUAACUUCGGGAGAAGGCACGCUGAUAUGUAGGUGAAGCGACUUGCUCGUGGAGCUGAAAUCAGUCGAAGAUACCAGCUGGCUGCAACUGUUUAUUAAAAACACAGCACUGUGCAAACACGAAAGUGGACGUAUACGGUGUGACGCCUGCCCGGUGCCGGAAGGUUAAUUGAUGGGGUUAGCGGUAACGCGAAGCUCUUGAUCGAAGCCCCGGUAAACGGCGGCCGUAACUAUAACGGUCCUAAGGUAGCGAAAUUCCUUGUCGGGUAAGUUCCGACCUGCACGAAUGGCGUAAUGAUGGCCAGGCUGUCUCCACCCGAGACUCAGUGAAAUUGAAUUCGCUGUGAAGAUGCAGUGUACCCGCGGCAAGACGGAAAGACCCCGUGAACCUUUACUAUAGCUUGACACUGAACAUUGAGCCUUGAUGUGUAGGAUAGGUGGGAGGCUUUGAAGUGUGGACGCCAGUCUGCAUGGAGCCGACCUUGAAAUACCACCCUUUAAUGUUUGAUGUUCUAACGUUGGCCCGUAAUCCGGGUUGCGGACAGUGUCUGGUGGGUAGUUUGACUGGGGCGGUCUCCUCCUAAAGAGUAACGGAGGAGCACGAAGGUUGGCUAAUCCUGGUCGGACAUCAGGAGGUUAGUGCAAUGGCAUAAGCCAGCUUGACUGCGAGCGUGACGGCGCGAGCAGGUGCGAAAGCAGGUCAUAGUGAUCCGGUGGUUCUGAAUGGAAGGGCCAUCGCUCAACGGAUAAAAGGUACUCCGGGGAUAACAGGCUGAUACCGCCCAAGAGUUCAUAUCGACGGCGGUGUUUGGCACCUCGAUGUCGGCUCAUCACAUCCUGGGGCUGAAGUAGGUCCCAAGGGUAUGGCUGUUCGCCAUUUAAAGUGGUACGCGAGCUGGGUUUAGAACGUCGUGAGACAGUUCGGUCCCUAUCUGCCGUGGGCGCUGGAGAACUGAGGGGGGCUGCUCCUAGUACGAGAGGACCGGAGUGGACGCAUCACUGGUAUUCGGGUUGUCAUGCCAAUGGCACUGCCCGGUAGCUAAAUGCGGAAGAGAUAAGUGCUGAAAGCAUCUAAGCACGAAACUUGCCCCGAGAUGAGUUCUCCCUGACUCCUUGAGAGUCCUGAAGGAACGUUGAAGACGACGACGUUGAUAGGCCGGGUGUGUAAGCGCAGCGAUGCGUUGAGCUAACCGGUACUAAUGAACCGUGAGGCUUAACCUUACAACGCCGAAG
Molecule: ribosomal RNA, 2925 nt
Filed under: Escherichia coli NU14
Lineage: Bacteria; Pseudomonadati; Pseudomonadota; Gammaproteobacteria; Enterobacterales; Enterobacteriaceae
Description: bacterial LSU rRNA
Rfam family: Bacterial large subunit ribosomal RNA
Source: RNAcentral